GNAAACNNNNCNGNAGUCGACGAUUCCUACGGGAGGCAGCAGUGGGGAAUAUUGCACAAUGGGCGCAAGCCUGAUGCAGCGACGCCGCGUGAGGGAUGACGGCCUUCGGGUUGUAAACCUCUUUCAGCACCGACGAAGCGCAAGUGACGGUAGGUGCAGAAGAAGGACCGGCCAACUACGUGCCAGCAGCCGCGGUAAUACGCAGGGUCCGAGCGUUGUCCGGAAUUACUGGGCGUAAAGAGCUCGUAGGUGGUUUGUCGCGUUGUCCGUGAAAUCCCACGGCUUAACUGUGGGCGUGUGGGCGAUACGGGCAGACUGGAGUACUGCAGGGGAGACUGGAAUUCCUGGUGUAGCGGUGGAAUGCGCAGAUAUCAGGAGGAACACCGGUGGCGAAGGCGGGUCUCUGGGCAGUAACUGACGCUGAGGAGCGAAAGCGUGGGGAGCGAACAGGAUUAGAUACCCUGGUAGUCCACGCCGUAAACGGUGGGUACUAGGUGUGGGUUUCCUUCCUUGGGAUCCGUGCCGUAGCUAACGCAUUAAGUACCCCGCCUGGGGAGUACGGCCGCAAGGCUAAAACUCAAAUGAAUUGACGG
RNAcentral lists this ribosomal RNA (593 nucleotides) under uncultured Actinomycetes bacterium. RNAcentral's name for it is "bacterial SSU rRNA". It matches the Rfam family "Bacterial small subunit ribosomal RNA", at positions 314 to 916 of the family's 1533-position model. The record is from RNAcentral. Lineage: Bacteria; Bacillati; Actinomycetota; Actinomycetes.